Molecule: long non-coding RNA, 2194 nt
Organism: Dromaius novaehollandiae (emu)
Lineage: Eukaryota; Metazoa; Chordata; Aves; Casuariiformes; Dromaiidae
Exons: 3
Source: RefSeq, a predicted model, not a curated record
UAACUAUCCUGCGAACCAUUUGCUUUCAUUUCAUAUUUUCAACAUUUAAACAUAAUAAUUAAGGCAAUACUGUAUUUGGUCAUUUUAAAGAAGACUUAAAGGUUACAUCUGGCACCCUACUCCACUGCUGAACAUUGUAGCAGAUGCUUUGAAAAAAGUAAAAGAAAAACUUCUAUACAGCAUUUCUCCCUUCAAAUGAAGAUCCAUCAGAACCCUAUCAGAAAUGCUGUGACUGUGCUGUCAGAUCUAACUACCUCAGUUCAAAAAAGCAUUUGGAUUUCUAGACAUGGCUUCACUUCUUCACUUCAGAUAUCUUACAAUCUCUAAAAAAUGCAAUCAAAUGAAGGAGAGAGAGGAUGAGCAGUGACAUUGUAUGAGAAUUAUGUCAGGAACAAUGCAUGGCAUGUUAGCUGUUCCUUCCACAUGACUUGUAAACUGAAGAGAUGAACAGCUGAAUUAUCCUGCAGAAGGAGCAAAUCCAGGCAAACGUACAGGCCAAGAACGGAUGAUUGUUCAUCUGAAAGAGAUGAGUUGAGAGAUUUGAAGACUGCCACAAACAAGCAAUCCUUGGAAGUUCGUGCAGAAGGCCCAGUUCGGUUAUAACCUCGUAGUACAAUUUUUCUCAGGCUUCCCUAAGGUGAGCCUCCUGAACAGUCAAAGGUGUAUCUGCAGUGACUGUCCAUUCAAAAAUGCCACACAGAUGUUCAUCAAUAUCUCUGUCACUUAUCUAACUGUACUGUGCGGUGAUCCAAUAAAUGGGUGUUGACAAUAAGUUUUGUAAUUAACAACAAGGGUGCGGUUUCAUUAUCAGUUUAAACUGAUGUAAAACUGCAUUACUACCAAAAGAAGCAGUGAGCAGUUCUGCCUUCCCUGUCCUGCCCUUGGCCAUGCUCUCCCACUAUAUCCUUAGACUGCACCAGCUGGGUCACUAAACUGAUCCAACUCACUGCAUGUCUCAUGGUCAAAAGGACUGAAACAAAGCACAGAACAAAAAAAGAGAGGUACAGGGUAGGACAAGACCACCCGUAAGUGGUAGUGUGCUGUUAGGUGGGUUUACACCAGUCAUGAGACCAGCACUCAAAACUGGCAUCUUAAUUUAGCAACUAUUGAAACAAAAGCCCAGUUUGCCCCUCAGAAUUACUAUUUACUCUGUAAAUUCAGGCAUGUCAUUACUAGUCAUAGCCCUUCUCUAGAUUGUUUUCCCAUGCCCUAACAGAUACAGAUUUUUUAAUACAAGAGAACUGUCCCCCAGGAUUUCAGUUAGAAGGACUUGCCAAUACUUGCAGUGAAUCAUUUAUGGUCUUUCAGAGGUAUAUGCUAAGUUUCUUGAUGUACUGUGCUAGCUCUGUCAUCUACAAGUCACACCUUGCUGAAAUGCUCACAUGUAUACAUAUGGCAAAAUCUAUUUAAAACAUCAGCAUUUGCCAAGUAUUACCCAUACAUCUCCUUUUCUAUAUGGAAGAACUUUUGCUGAUUUGAAAAUUUGUUUUGGUAUUAGUGAUCUUUGAUAUCUGCCAGGAAUUACUGAGAAGGGCAAAACCUGAUGAUGGGAUUUGAGUGAGGGGAACCAUUAUCAAUUUAGUUGUUAAUGAAGUCAUCUGACAUUCAAAGUAGUCCACAAUGUAAAAAGGAGAGAGAGACAACUUUCUCGUGUUUGCCUACUACCACCCAUGAAGACAAACUUUAAACAAAUAAUAAAAAGCAAUGCAACCAUCUAAAGCACGACCUUCCUUCUUCUUAUGAUGAGCGACAAUUUCUCUUCUCCCUUAGCUGUAUGUACACUGUAUAAAUUGUUAUUUCCCCAUAGGGAAGACCAAGCCAAAAUUCAUAACUUUGAAAAGAAACUCACACUCUCUCUGUAAUUAUGUGCAUUUUCUCUUCACAGGACAGUGCUAACCUCUUUCCUUCCUUUUUUUCCUCCCAUCCUUGCUACAUCCUGUGUCCGAUAACUAUGGUGGAGAUUAAGGGCUUUCUUGAACUCCUAGUGUAAUAACGAACAAGACGGAAGGAGGUAAUCACACAAACAUUGGCAACUCUAUUAUUAUAAAGUCAAUGAAAUGUCAACUAUCUCCACUUCUGCCUUAUAAUUAAUUUAUUGUAAUUACUGCAAUGUACUGAUUUAAUUUCAUUCCUUGGUUGCAACAGAGGUGACUGUAAACAUGUUUGCAGGCAGAAAGAAUAGUACAAACUAAAA